GACGAACCGUGCAAACGUUAUUCGGAAUCACUGGGCAUAAAGGGCGCGUAGGCGGCUCCAAAAGUCAGGGGUGAAAUCCGGCAGCUUAACUGUCGCAGUGCCUUUGAUACUGUGGAGCUAGAGGGAGGUAGGGGUCUGUGGAACUUCCGGUGGAGCGGUGAAAUGCGUUGAUAUCGGAAGGAACGCCGGUGGCGAAAGCGACGGACUGGAUCUCUUCUGACGCUGAGGCGCGAAAGUCAGGGGAGCAAACGGG
This 253-nucleotide ribosomal RNA is filed under the name uncultured bacterium. RNAcentral describes it as "partial 16S ribosomal RNA". It matches the Rfam family "Bacterial small subunit ribosomal RNA", at positions 524 to 776 of the family's 1533-position model. The record is from RNAcentral.